This 793-nucleotide ribosomal RNA is filed under the name uncultured Alphaproteobacteria bacterium. Its description in RNAcentral is "bacterial SSU rRNA". It matches the Rfam family "Bacterial small subunit ribosomal RNA", at positions 45 to 886 of the family's 1533-position model. Lineage: Bacteria; Pseudomonadati; Pseudomonadota; Alphaproteobacteria. The record is from RNAcentral.
UGCCUCAUACAUGCAAGUCGAACGAAAUCUUCGGAUUUAGUGGCGCACGGGUGAGUAACAUGUGGGAAUCUACCUGAAGGUUCGGAAUAACUGCGGGAAACUGUAGCUAAUACCGGAUGUGUCUGCAAAGAGAAAGAUUUAUCGCCUUCAGAUGAGCCCGCACUAGAUUAGCUAGUUGGUGAGGUAACUGCUCCACCAAGGCUACGAUCUAUAGCUGAUUUGAGAGGAUGAUCAGCCACACUGGGACUGAGACACGGCCCAGACUCCUACGGGAGGCAGCAGUAGGGAAUAUUGGACAAUGGGGGAAACCCUGAUCCAGCAAUGCCGCGUGAGUGAAGAAGGCCUUCGGGUUGUAAAACUCUUUCAUCAAUGAUGAUAAUGACAUUAAUUGAAGAAGAAGCUCCGGCUAACUUCGUGCCAGCAGCCGCGGUAAUACGAAGGGGGCUAGCGUUGUUCGGAAUCACUGGGCGUAAAGCGUAUGUAGGCGGAUCAAAAAGUUAGAUGUGAAAUCCCUGGGCUUAACCCAGGAACUGCAUUUAAAACUAGUGAUCUAGAAAUUGGUAAGGGUUAGUAGAAUUUCCAGUGUAGAGGUGAAAUUCGUAGAUAUUGGAAAGAAUACCAGAAGCGAAGGCGACUAACUAGGCCAUUUUUGACGCUGAGAUACGAAAGCGUGGGUAGCAAACAGGAUUAGAUACCCUGGUAGUCCACGCAGUAAACGAUGAGUGCUAGUCGCUGGGACAAUAGUUUCAGUGUCGAAGCUAACGCAUUAAGCACUCCGCCUGGGAAGUACGGU